GGAUACGAGUCACCCACAGUGCACUGGUCUUUCCCAAAUUAAGCUCUUGCAGUUUGCAUCAAGACCAUUUCUCAUCCACAAGCUGACUAUUUAUUGUUCUUCAAAGAGAAAAUCAAAGAAGAGAAUCAGAAGGAUAUAUCCCAGACCAACAAAAUCAUACACUGCCAUUAACCAGACCUAGAGUCUAGACAACUCAAUGCAUUUCUAUGCAGUUACAGUAUUCAUUUGGGAAGUUCUGAAGCCUUGGAUGUUAUUUUAUGUUUUCACUUUCAACUACGUGCAAAUAUGUGUAUAUAAUCUAAUACAACACCAAGUCCCCAAAAUCCUGUGAUUGAUUUACACACAUAGUCAAACUGUGAUUUUUGUUUCACGGUCUGUUGACAUUCCGGGAUGUGGCUGUGAACUUCUCUCAGGAGGAGUGGGAAUACCUGGACUUUGUUCAGAGGGCUCUGUACAUUGAUGUGAUGUUGGAGAAUUGCAGCAACCUGGUCUCUGUUGAGAACUACUGCAUAUGCGAUACUGUCCAUCAACAUAUGAGGACUGAAAAGGAGUCUUGUCAGUGUAAUGAGCUCAGGGAAAUGCUUCAUGAACCCUCCAACUGUGCACUUUAUAAUAGAAGUGACACUACAAAAACCUCUAACAACUACAGAUGCUGUAAUGAGAAGGAUGCCUCUGUUGACUCUUCAAACCCAGAUAGACACAAAAGUAUGCACACUGGAGAAGACCCUCGCCAAUCUAAAGACUGUGAGAAAUCUUUCAAUUUAUGUUCCAACAUUAGCCAAGAUCAAAGACUCUACACUGCAAGGAAAGAACACAAGCAGGAUGAAUAUGAUGACCAUUUCAGCUCUACACACAGUCUCAUGCAACAGUCUACAUUAGAGAGAAACCAUAUCAGUGUGGACACUGCAGUAAAUACUUCAGUACUGCUUCAAGUUUCAGCAUACAUAAGAGAAUUCAUACUGGUGAGAAACCCUACAAGUGCAAAGUUUGUGAAAAAUCCUUUAACAAGUGCACAAAUCUUAAAACACAUCAAAGUCUUCAUACAGGAGAGAAACCUUACAAAUGCAAAGAAUGUGAAAAGUCAUUUGUGCAGUUAUCUGCACUUAAAAGCCACCAGAGAAGGCAUACUGGAGAGAAGCCAUACAAAUGUAAGGAGUGUGACAGAUCCUUUGCCCACUGUGCAUCAUUAAGAUGGCACCACAAGAUUCAUUCUCCUGAGGCACAUUAUGAAUGCAAAGAAUGUGGUAAGUCCUUUUUUGAACUAUCAGUCUUAAAAGGCAUUGCAGAUUCCACACUGGUGAAAAGCCUUACAAAUAUGAGAUAUGUGACAAACCUUUACUACGACCACCGCUCUUAAUACACAUCAGAAAAUCCACACUGGUGAAAAGCCUUACAAAUGUGAGAUAUGUGACAAAUCCUUUACUACAACCACAACUCUUAAAACACAUCAGAAAAUUCACAUUGGAGAGAAACCUUACAAAUGUAGGGAAUGUGGCAAAUGGUUUACCAAGUGCUCACAUCUUCAAAGACAUCAGAGUGUUCAUAACCAAGAGAGACCUUACAAAUAUAAGGAAUGUGGGAAAUCUUUUACUAAGUGCUCAACUCUUCAAACACAUCAGAAAGUUCAUAAUAUAUAGAAACCUUACACAUGUAUGGAAUGUGACAAAUCCUUUACCUAGGUCUCACAUCUUAGAACACAUCAGCGAGUUCAUACUGGAGAGAGGCCUAAUAGAUAUAAGGAAUGUCUUUUACUAGGUGUUCUCACCUUAGAGAACAUCAGAUAAUACAUACUGGAGAGAAACCUUACAAAUGUUUGGAAUGUGACAAAUCCUUUACCUGGCACCCACAUCUAAGAAGACAUCAGACAGUUCAUACUGGAGAGAAACCUCACAAGUGCAAAGAUUGUGAUAAGUGCUUCCUCUGGAUUUCUAGUCUUCGAAUGCAUCAGAAUAUUCAUGAUGGAGAGAGACCUUAUAAAUGUAAGGAAUGUGGCAAAUCUUUUAUCUGGUACUCAUAUCUAAGAGCCUAUCAGAAAAUUCAUACUGCAAAGAAACCUUACAAAUGUGACAAAUCCUUUAUCCAGUAUGUACAUCUUAGGGCACAUCAGAGAGUUCAUACUGGAGAGAGACCUUACAGAUGUACGGAAUGUGACAAAUCUUUUACUAGAGCCUCAACUCUUAGAGCACAUCAGAAAAUUCAUACUGGAGAGAAACUUUAUAAAUGUAGGGAAUGUGACAAAUCUUUUACCGGAUGCUCACAUCUUAGAGUACAUCAGAGUAUUCAUACUGGAGAAAGGCCUUACAAAUGUAUGGAUUGUGACAAAUCUUUUCCUACGGGCUCAACUCAUACAGCACAUCAGAAAAUUCAUACUGGAGAGAAACCUUACAAAAGCAAAGACUGUGUUAUAUCUUUUCCCCAGCCUUCACAUAUGAGGACAAAUCAGCGAGUUCAUACUGGAGAAAGACUUACAGAUGUAAGGAAUGUGGCAAAUCCUUUAAUCAGUACUCAACUCUAAGAGACCAUCAGAAAAUUCAUACUGGAGAGAAACCUUACAAAUGCAGAGACUGACAUAUCCUUUAUAUGGAUUUCAAAUCUCGGAAGACAUCAGAAAAUUCAUACUGGAGAAAAACCUUACAAAUGUAAGGAAUGUAACAAAUCUUUUACUAGGUGCUCAUAUCUUAGAGACCACCAGAAAAUUCAUCCUGGAGAGAAACCUCACAAGUGCAAAGACUGUGACGUAUACUUUAUGUGGAUUUCAAGUCUUAGAAGACAUCAGAAAAUUCAUACUGGAGAAAAACAUACCAUUGUAAAUAAUGUAACAUACCAUUUAUCUGGUAUUCUCUGCUGACAAAUCACAACAGGAGAAGUAAUAGAAAUAUAAAGAUAACAAGCUUGUGAAAGCCUUUAAUGAAGACUUAAACCUCACAAAAUGUAUCAGAGUUCCUAUCAAAAUAAAAUUCUGUAAAUGUAA
This is an RNA transcript of Mus musculus (house mouse), 2971 nucleotides long. It is a transcript of the gene named predicted gene, 30531, with no coding region annotated. The transcript is spliced from 5 exons. The record is from RefSeq and is marked validated. NCBI's taxonomy places the organism in Eukaryota, Metazoa, Chordata, Mammalia, Rodentia, Muridae.